CCGAGGGUGUCAUAAGAUCCGCUAACUCCUCAUCCCGGGAANUAACCACAAGCCCCUC
Molecule: transfer RNA, 58 nt
Filed under: Coluber constrictor (Eastern racer)
Lineage: Eukaryota; Metazoa; Chordata; Lepidosauria; Squamata; Colubridae
Description: tRNA-Ser
Source: RNAcentral